RNAcentral lists this ribosomal RNA (482 nucleotides) under uncultured bacterium. Its description in RNAcentral is "partial 16S ribosomal RNA". It matches the Rfam family "Bacterial small subunit ribosomal RNA", at positions 28 to 507 of the family's 1533-position model. The record is from RNAcentral.
GACGAACGCUGGCGGCGUGCUUAACACAUGCAAGUCGAACGCUGAAGCUCAGCUUUUGUUGGGUGGAUGAGUGGCGAACGGGUGAGUAACACGUGAGUAACCUGCCCCCUUCUUGGGAUAACGCCCGGAAACGGGUGCUAAUACUGGAUAUUCACUGGUCUUCGCAUGGGGGUUGGUGGAAAGGGUUUUUCUGGUGGGGGAUGGGCUCGCGGCCUAUCAGCUUGUUGGUGGGGUGAUGGCCUACCAAGGCUUUGACGGGUAGCCGGCCUGAGAGGGUGACCGGUCACAUUGGGACUGAGAUACGGCCCAGACUCCUACGGGAGGCAGAAGUGGGGAAUAUUGCACAAUGGGAGCAAGCCUGAUGCAGCGACGCCGCGUGAGGGAUGGAGGCCUUCGGGUUGUGAACCUCUUUCGCUCAUGGUCAAGCCGCAACAAUGGUUGUGGUGAGGGUAGUGGGUAAAGAAGCGCCGGCUAACUACGUG